RNAcentral lists this unclassified non-coding RNA (301 nucleotides) under Hevea brasiliensis (rubber tree). The record is from RNAcentral. Lineage: Eukaryota; Viridiplantae; Streptophyta; Magnoliopsida; Malpighiales; Euphorbiaceae.
GAAUUUCAGAGUUAGCCAAGAAAAGCUUGUUAUACCCUUCCUGGACAUAAGCCCAAGUCACAAUCUGAAUAGUGAGAUCUCCGCAAAAGAUGGAUGAGACUCAGACUUGGCCAAGGAAAGCUUGUGAUACUCUUCUUGGACAUAGACUUAAGACACAACAUGAGCGGUGAGAUCCGCAUAAAAAAUAUAUGAAACUCACAUAUUUUUGUCUGAGUUCAUGAUAAAUCCCAUAUUUUUUCUUCUUUUGAGUGUUAUGUGAUCUAAGUGAAUUGUAGAUGAUCAAACAUGUAAAAUUCUGCAA